AAUGAACGCUGGCGGCAUGCCUUACACAUGCAAGUCGAACGGCAGCAUAGUCUGGCCUUCUUCGUUCGGGUCGCGUGUCGAGGACGUGUGUGAUACACCGCAGCAUGUCCUUUUGUGUGGGGUAUCAUGUCGGGAGUUACACUAUAACACCGCAUACGAUCUGCGGGUGAACGCAGGGGCUUUUCGCAUUUCGCUCGAUUGGAUGCGGCGAUGUCGGAUUAGCUAGUUGGCGGGGUAAAGGCUCACCAAGGCCACGCCCCGUAGCUGGUCUGAGAGGAUGAUCCGCCACACUGGAACUGAGACACGGCCCAGACUCCUACGGGAGGCAGCAGUGGGGAAUUUUGGACAAUGGGCGCAAGCCUGAUCCAGCCAUGCCGCGUGAGUGAAGAAGGCCUUCGGGUUGUAAAGCUCUUUCGUUGGGGAAGAAAUGGCACAGGUUAAUACCGCGCGGGUAUGACGGUACCAGAAUAAGAAGCACCGGCUAACUACGUG
This 492-nucleotide ribosomal RNA is filed under the name uncultured bacterium. RNAcentral describes it as "partial 16S ribosomal RNA". It matches the Rfam family "Bacterial small subunit ribosomal RNA", at positions 29 to 507 of the family's 1533-position model. The record is from RNAcentral.